This 167-nucleotide long non-coding RNA is filed under the name Pogona vitticeps (central bearded dragon). RNAcentral's name for it is "lncRNA (ENSPVIG00000016048.1)". The record is from RNAcentral. Lineage: Eukaryota; Metazoa; Chordata; Lepidosauria; Squamata; Agamidae.
CCAUCCAACUAUGAGGUCAUAGACAGACACAUGAGACAGAACAAGGUCUUCACAGUACUGUAGUGACUUUGGAACCUCCUGCUAGUGGACGCCCAUGGCACCCUACCAUAUCUGUUUUCAGGAGCUUUGGGUUUCAGGCUGCAUCUAAGAGUACUAGGAUAAAAUGA